Molecule: ribosomal RNA, 169 nt
Filed under: uncultured bacterium
Lineage: Bacteria
Description: partial 16S ribosomal RNA
Rfam family: Bacterial small subunit ribosomal RNA
Source: RNAcentral
CCUACGGGAGGCAGCAGUGGGGAAUCUUGCGCAAUGGGCGGAAGCCUGACCCAGCAACGCCGCGUGGGUGAUGAAGGCCCUCGGGUCGUAAAGCCCUUUUCCCAGGGAAGAUGGUGACGGUACCUGGGGAAUCAGCCCCGGCUAACUACGUGCCAGCAGCCGCGGUAAU